Molecule: ribosomal RNA, 468 nt
Filed under: uncultured bacterium
Lineage: Bacteria
Description: partial 16S ribosomal RNA
Rfam family: Bacterial small subunit ribosomal RNA
Source: RNAcentral
GACGAACGCUGGCGGCGUGCUUAACACAUGCAAGUCGAACGGAAAGGCCGUGCUUUGGUGGGGAGCGCGAAGGGCGAACGGGUGAGUAACACGUGUGUAACGUACACUUGUCGUUGGGAUGACGUCAGGAAACUGGGGCUCAUACCGGGUAGGAGCUACUGGUGCAUGGUGGGGGCUGGAAAGUUUCGGUGGUUGGGGAUGGACUCGCGGCGCAUCAGGUUGGUGGUGUGGUAGUGGCUUACCAAGGCUUUGAGAGGUAGCCGACCUGGUAGGGGGAGCGGCCACGUUGGGAUGGGGAUACGGCCCGGCCUACUACGGGAGGCAACGGAGGAGAAUAGUGCACAAGGGGAUGAAGGCUGAUGCGGCCACGCCGCGUGCGGGAUGACGGCCUUCGGGUUGUAAACCGAUUUCCUCUGAGCCGAAGCGUGAGUGACGGUAAUGGGUAAAGAAGCACCGGCUAACUACGUG